Non-coding RNA from Brachypodium distachyon (stiff brome), 125 nucleotides. NCBI's taxonomy places the organism in Eukaryota, Viridiplantae, Streptophyta, Magnoliopsida, Poales, Poaceae. The record is from Rfam.
UUAGUACUCUCUCCGUUUCAUAAUUUUUGUCUCAAAUUUGCCCGAAUAUACAUGUAUCUAUUCCUAAAAAGCGUAUACAUACAUGUAAUAUUUCGACAAGAAUUAUAAAACGGAGAGAGUACAAU